RNAcentral lists this long non-coding RNA (9804 nucleotides) under Nicotiana tabacum (common tobacco). Its description in RNAcentral is "long non-coding RNA (NTAB_LNC008096)". Lineage: Eukaryota; Viridiplantae; Streptophyta; Magnoliopsida; Solanales; Solanaceae. The record is from RNAcentral.
GGAGAUAUGAAGAGGUUCUUCAUGCCUAGCUUGGAUAGCAGAUAAUAAUGUUGAAGCUGAGUAAGCCCUUUGGUGAGAAUAUCAGCCUGUUGCUUUCAGGAAGCCAAGUACUCAAGAUUGACCAAUCCUUGUUUGACCUUCUCCUUGAUGAAAUGGUAAUAGAUGUCGAUGUGUUUAGUUUGCUCAUGGAAAACGGGAUUAGCAACUAUUUGGAUGGCAGAUUUACUGUCACAGUAUAAAGAGAUAGGCAGUUGAACAUUCACAUGCAAUUCCUUAAACAAUUCAAGAAGCCAUACAAGCUCAACAACUAUCGAGGCAAGACUUUUAUAUUCUGCCUCCGCAGAACUUCUAGAGAUAGUUGACAAUUUCUUGAACUUCCAAGACACUAGAGAGUUGCCAAAUUUAACCAAAUAUCUUGUGACAGACCGACAAAUAUUUGGGCAUGAAGCUCAAUCAACAUCACAAUAAGCAAUGAGAGGAGGAGAAUGGGCAGAUGACAACCGAAUUCCAGGUACAUGUGACUGUUUAACAUAACGAACCAAUUGUACAACAGCCUCCAUAUGAUAAGCCUUAGGGGAGUGCAUGAACUGGCUUAAACACUGUAAUGCAAAACUGAUAUUUGGUCGCAUGUUAGUAAGGUAUAACAAUAUGGCAAGGAGUUUCUGAUAAGUACCAGGAUUUUCAAGAGGGGCGUCAUCAGUCAUCCCAACAUGUGCAUCAAAAUCUGAAGAAGUCAGUUUUAAGUUAAGUUCCAAGGAAACACCAACUGAUUUAGCCCCAGCCAAACCCUUCUCUGAGAUCAAUUCAAGGGCAUACUUUCGCUGAUGCAUAACAAUGCCCUUUUUGCUUCUAGCAAAUUCUAUGCCAAGGAAAUACCUCUGCUCACCAAGAUCCUUGAUCUUGAAAUUGGAUUGUAGACAUGCCUUAAUUUCGAGAAUCAUGGUUAAAUCAUCUCAUGUGAUCAAGAGAUCAUUGACAUAAACCAAAACUAUGACAAACUUGCCUUGAGAUUGUCUGGUAAAUAGAGAAUAAUCCAAAUGACUUUGAACAAAAUCGUAGGACAACAAGGCAGAAGAUAAUUUGAGAUUCCACUGCCUAGAGGCCUUUAAGUCCAUACAGUGACCUAAGCAACUUACAAACCUAUUGAGGACCAUUUGACCUGUGAAAAUCCUGGGGUAAAGUCAUUUACACUUCUUCAUCCAAAUCCGCUUGCAAAAAUGCAUUAUAGACACCCAUUUGAUAGAUAGUCCAAUGCUUGGUUGCAACUAUAGCUAGAAUACACCUGAUAGUUACCAUUUUGACUACAGGAGAAAAAGUUUCUUGGUAAUCCAAGCCUUCUUGCUGGCUAUAACCCUUUGCUACCAUUGCCUUGAACCUUUUCACCUCCCAUGUAUCUUUAUACUUAAUUUGAUACACUCACUUACAACCAAUAGCUCUUUUACCUAUAGGCAAAGGUCCCACAUUCCAUGUAUUAUUAGCCUAUAAAGCUUGUAAUUCAGCUUGCAUAGCCUCGAUCUACCUAGGAUCUUUGGCAGCUUAGAGUAUAGAUUUUAGGCUCAACAUCAGCAAAGAAUUUAGUGAGGAAACUUUGAUACCUUGGUGUCAAAGUAUCAUAGCUUACAAUAUCAGACAAUGGAUAGAGAGAAGUAUUUGUAGUAGAACUGUGUCCUUUUCCAAGGACAACAAAGUCCUUCAACCAAAUAGGUAGUUUAGACACCCUCCCUGAUUUCCUUUAUGCUGGCUCAGGACCAAUAAUAGGUGUAGAAAGUGGUAAGUCAAUAGUGAUGAUUGGGGGGUCUGCAAUGUCAAAUACCUCAGGAUCAUACGAGUCUAUUGCUGAUAGCUGGUCAGAGAUAUGUGGUGGAUUAGAAAUAGGAUCAUCUAGUGGAGGAGAAAGGGUAGACACAAUUGGAAAAGAAAAGUCCUGAUCUGUUGCAUGUAAAUGAAAAGGAAGUAUAUGAAAAAAACAUCUCUACUAAUGAAGAUUGUUCUGUGCUGCAUGUCAUAGAGCUUGUAACCUUUCUGAAAACCCCCAUAGCCAAGCAACACAGAUGAUAUAACUCUAGGACUGAAUUUAUCUUUUCUAGACAAUGUUGUUGCAUAGCAGAGACACCCUAGUAUUCGCAAAUGAGACAAUGAAGGCACUUUGUUGUGCAUCACUUCAAAUGGAGACUUUUUCCCUAAGACAGUAGAGGGAACUGUGUGAAUUAUAUACACAGUAGUUUCCACACAACAUCUUCAAAACCUAGGUGGAAAGUGACCCUGAAAUUUAAUGGCUCUAGCUGUCUCAAGGAUAUGCCUAUGCCUCCUUUCGACAAUCUCAUUUUGUUGAGGAGAAUAAGGGCAAGAACUCUGAUGAGUUAUCCCAUGUGACUUGAACAACUCACCACAAAGAUUAUUGAAAAUUUCGUACCUAUAAGCUUUAUAUUUCCUUUCAAAUUGGUUCAAGAUCAUGGCAAUGAAAGAUUUAAGCAGAGUAGACACAUUAGAUUUAACUCGCAUCAUAAAGACCCAAAUCCAUCUAGAGAAAUCAUCCACAAGAGUAAGAAAAUAGUUCAUUACAUCAUAGGUUGAGACUUUGUAUGGCCCCCAAACAUCCAUAUCUAUCAAUUCAAAUGGUGCAACAACUCUACUGUUACUAUGAGAAAAUGAAAGUCUAACUUGUCUAGAUAAUGGACAUAUGCCAUAGUGGUCCAAUGUAAGACUACAUUUAUUCUUCAAAACAGAAAUUCUUCUUAGAAAUGCCAUAGGUACAUGGCCUAUCCUCUUGUGCCAUAACUCUGAAUCUGCCAUCUCUCUUACUGCCAAAGAUUUCAUCUGCUCCUUGACUCCAGCAACUUCUUCCUUACCAAUCCCCUUCACCCUAUCAAUGAAGAGGUCUUGGAAGAUAAAGAAGUCAGGAUAGAAACUAACAAAGCAUUGCAAAGCCUUAGUCAUCUUUGAAACUGACAAUAAUUUGAAUUUAAAUACUAGUAUACACAAUACAUUUUUAAUGAGAUCACUUCUUGUCAAGUUGCAAUUUCCUACAUGAGUAAUCUGAGUCGAAUCUUUAGUAGACGUUUGAACAUGUCCCAAGUUUCCUACUUUAGUAGCCUUAACCAACAAUUGUUAAUUACCUAUCAUAUGAUUAGUAACCCUUGUGUCUACUAUCCAAGUAGGACUAAAAUCAGAAGCAAACAAAGAAAUACCUACCAUGUGUGCACUAGGUUCACCAACUAAAGUUUUGUUCAACAAAUUGAGGAUAUUUAGUAUGGCUCAGGGGUGAAGACUGGUGCUAUAAUAGGUGUGAGUGGACGAGGAAUAGAAGCAACAUUUCCAUCUGAUUGUGCCAUGUUUCUGCUCGGUAUAACACCUUUCUUUUUUUUUUACUUAAAAUUAGUAGGGUACCCUAUGAUUUUAUAGAAUUUUUUCUUAAAAUGAUAUUUCAUGUUGCAAAAGUCACAUUCAUUAAUUUGAAAUAAUUAUCCUUGGAAUGACCUCGUGUGCGACAGUAAUCACACUCCAGAUUAUAAUUCUUCAUCCCCUGCCUUGGACCAGAAUAUUUAGUAGUAAAUAGGGUAGUAUGCUCCAUAUUUUUAGUCAAUGCACAAUGCCCUCCUACGACCAUUCUUUGACUCUCAUCUUGAAGCAACAUUGCAUAUGCUUGAUUAACAUUAGGAACAUGUGAUUUCAUCAAGAUCUGGCUGCGUGUCUGGCUAUAUAUGUCAUUGAUACCUAUAAGAAAUUGUAACAAUUGUUGGUAUUGUAAAUGAUAAGCAUAUUCCUUGGAUUUUGCACAUUUACAAGAAGGAGGGGGCAUCAAUGGAUCAUAUUCAUCCUAUAGGUCCUUUACUUUAGAAUAAUACACAGAGAUGGAUGAAGUACCUUGUGUUAAGAUAAAAAUUUCCUUAUCCAGAUAAAAUAUGCGAGAAGUUGUCACCUUAUCAAAGCGCUCUCGCAGGUCCUCCCAAAUAGCAUAAGCACUAGAAUGCAACAGAAGUCUACUAAGCAAAUCAUGACUAACAUUAGGCAUAAUCUAUGAUUUCACUAUCGCAUUACAGCGACCUAGUGAUUAAUAAAAUUCUAUCCAUAAGUGUCCCGCGUGAUAAUGCCUUCAACAAAACCAAGUGUAUUCCUAGUCAGCAAAGAAACUUCCAUGGCCUGUCGCCAUAGAGUAUAAUUCUCCAUUCCAAUGGGGGCAUCCCAAUCGAAAACGAGCUCGGAGCAUCCAAAGCAUGAAAAAAUAGUGGGUGAUUGUGGUUAAUCACAAUCACAUUUUGUGCAGUUGCGUCAUCGGUUGCCAUGAAAAAUUAGGGCUCAAAACACACAAAAAACUCAAAUUCACCAGAAAGUACCCAAGGAAUCUUUUGAUUUUCAACUGUCGUCGGAGAAAAUCCCUAGAUUCACUCAAUUAGGGCCAUGAUACCAUGUUAAAUCUCCACUAAUCGAUGAAUUGAGUAAUUCAAUUGAGCUCACAAAUGAAUAAGAUGAGAGAAUCAUGAAUAAGAAGUUGAAAUCAGAAAGCAGAACUUUGAUAAAAUGAAUCGUGUAUCUAAAUGCGGAGCUAUAAGUCCUUUAUAUAGGAGAGCCUAAUAUAUUUACAUUUAAGCUAAUGACAGCUGGAUAACAGUUGUGACUAACGACCUCUUAAGUUAGUUAACAUUGUUACAACUAACUAAAAUAGUAAAGUACACCAUGGUUAACUAACCAUAGUGAAGGUUGUCAAUUCCUCUACAUCAAUAAGACAAGUACCAGUUUGUAGGGAGGUAUAGUGUAACGACCUGACCGGUCGUUUUGAGCAGUUGCACUUUGCUCAGUUAUUUGAGGGCAUGAGUAGCUCCGUAUGAAGUAUUAUGACUUAUGUAAAUCAUCGGUUUUGGUUUUCAGGUUAUUUGGAAUUGAUUUGGAAAAAUGAUUCUCAGCUAGAAGCUUUAAAUUUAAAAGGUUUGACCAAGUUUUGACUUUCUAGAAUUUGACCUCGGAUUAGAUUUCUGAUGGUUCCUUUAACUCUGUUGGGUUAUUUUGGACUUAGGAACGCGACCGGAUUGUGAUUUGGAGGUCCCUAGUAGAAUUUGGCUUUAGAUAGCAAAUGUUGGAAUUUUGAAAAGUUUGACCGGGAGUGAACUUUUUGAUAAUGGGGUCGGAUUCUGAUUCCGAAAGUUCGAUCAGGUCCAUAAUGUCAAAUGUGACUUGUGUGCAAAAUUUGAGGUCAAUCGGACGUGAUUUGAUAGGUUUCGGCAUCGGUUGUGGAAAUUUGAACUUUCAAGUUCAUUGAUUUCGAAUUGAGGUGUGAUUCAUCGUUUCGAUAUUGUUAUGUGUGUUUUGAGGCCUUGAGUAGGUCCAUGUUAUGAUAUGAAACCUGUUGGUAUGUUCGAACAGGCUCCCGAGGGGCCCGGGUGAGUUUCAGAUAUGUUUGGGUUGUGUUGCGCUCGUUUUUUUAAUGUUUCGACGUCGUUUUUCAAGCAUAAAUAGUACUACAUUAAGAAAAUGAGCUCUGAUUUCUUUUUUAUUGAAGCAUUAGAUCCGUAUCGUAAUUAUGGAGCCAUAGCAAAAAGAAUCGUCGAAUUUGAACAUCGUAUAAGGAUUUUAUGAUCAUUUUACUAAGAAUUGGGUUGCCGGAUUUUUCAGAUUAAUUAUGAAAUUGUCACUGAAUUCAUAUUUAAAAAUCUGCACUAUUUUCAAAUAUUAAAACCUGUUAUAAAUAGAAUUUUAUUUAUAAUGAAUGUUUAUAUUUUAGAGAGAUUUUAGGGAUUUUACUUGGUGGCUAUGUCACUUUUCCCCUAUAAAUAGUGGGGUUCUAUUCCAUUGUAAUUGAUCUCAAAUCAAUAAGAAUUCUCUCUUUAUACUUUUCUCUGCAAUACUCUUCUUUUUUUAUUGAUUCAUAACACGUUAUCAGUACGAGACUCUAACCAAUUGAGUAGAAGUUUGGGUAUUGAGUAUAAUGAUUGUCAAUUGUUCUAUGAACUUCCUUCACGAUUAAAUUCUAGAUUUAAGGUAAGUAUUUUAUCUUAUUUUCUCUUUUAGAUUCUUGAAAUUCUAUAAUUUGAUUUUAAAUACAAGGAAAGACAAUAAAUUUUGAUUAUAACUCUAAUAGAGUUUGUAAGAAAUUAUAACCACCCAAAGUGGUAAAAUUUUUAUGCCUUGCCAUGAUCAAAUUCAUGUAUGAUUGUGGGCAAAAACAUUAAAAACCCCGUCCCAUUGAAUUUGCUUCAUUCUCGUUCCGUUAAGAGAAUAUGGUAGCAAUAUGUAAUAAGUUUGAAAGAAGACAAAAUUAUUACCAUAAAGAUAUCAAUGGAUGUGGAUGUGGUAAUAGAUGAAAUUAUAAUCGUCAUCAUUGUGGUAAUGAUAAUAAUAAGAAUUCUCAAAAUAAUCCUUCACUCUGUAAAAGUAAUGUUUGUCAUCGAUUUGACAUGAGAUUUUAUAAAUCACAUAUAGAUGAUUAUGGUUCAUUCUGUGAAUGUGACAACAUGUGAUUUACGAGUACAUAUUCAUUCUUGGAAGAAUAUGAACGUGCUAGUGGUAGUGAAUAUACCACACUCACCUCUAGAAGGAGGUUUGAAAUGGAAUAAGAAAAUAAUUUCAUUAUUAUGGCAUGAAUAGUCAUUGAUCACGUACCUAUUGUGAUUAGCCAAAAUAUUAUGGCAAUGCGAUUAUUGCAUGGCAAAAAAAAGUGAGAGAAGCAACAUAUUUGACCAUGACCAUAAUGGUAUAACUUUCUCCUUGAAAGAAAUAUUCACCAUAUGGAUGUUAAUGAAUAUGUGGUAGUACAAAAUUAGCUGAAAGCUCUGGAAGAGCCAAUUAUACAAUUUUGGAGAAAUAAAAUUAAUUAUCAAUAAGGUAUUGUGUUGUAGUAAGUCUCAAAAAAAACUUAAUUAAGUUUCUAAAGUAUUCGCGAAAGCGGUUGGUUAUAUUGAGACUAUAAAUAAAGGAAAGAUUUAAUAUCUUUUAUUACUACAACUUGUAUCGGGGUAAUAUGCAUGCGAAAAGUUACCCGCUUUAUUCUCCAGUUUGUACUACACAAAUAAAAGAAUACCAUACUAAGUGGAUGUUUAUUGAUAUAAAAAACCCAUAUCAUAAUAAACUUGGAGUUUAUUGGUAAUUGCAUACAUCAUGGUGUAAACUUGAAUUUUAUCAAUAUUGAUAAUUUAUUCAGUUGGCAUAAUUGGUUUAGCCAUGUUAAUUUAAGUAUGAUGUACAAAAAUAAAAGUGUGAUGACCCGGCCAGUCGUCUCAUGAGCUGCCGCUCCGUUUUCUCUAUUUCUGCUUUACUAUACUUUAAUUAUCCGUGUUAUGUGGUAUCGGGUUGGUCAGAUCGAGUUCGGAAGGAUUUGGCAAGGUUUGAGACACUUAGUCUCUUUAGAGUAAGUUUAAGUUGAAAAAGUCAAUCGGAUGUUGACUUAUGUGUUAGAGGGCUCAGAUGUGAGUUCUGAUGGUUCGGUUAGCUUCGGGAGGUGAUUUGUGGCUUAGGAGCGCGAUCGAAAUGAAUUUUUGGAGGUCCAUAGUAGAUUUAGGCUUGAAUUUGCGAAGUUGAUAUUUUGGCGAUUUCCAGUUGAUAGGUGAGAUUUUGAUAUAGGGGUCAGAAUGGAAUUUAGAGAGUUGCAGUAGCUUCGUUAUGUCAUUUGGGAUGUGUGUGCAAAAUUUCAGGUCAUUCGGACGUGAUUUGGUUGGGUUUUUGAUCAAAAGCGUAUUUCAGAAGAUUUUAGAAAUUUAGGCUUGAAUCCGAUGUGUUUUGGGUGAUUUGAAGUUGUUUGAGGUGUUUUAAUGAUUGGAACAAGUUUGAAUAAGAUUUUAGGAUAUGUUGGUGCCUUUGGUUGAGGUCCCGGGGGCCUCCGGUGAGUUUCGGGUGGUCAAUCGGAUCAUUUGAAGUUGGAAAAGAUUGCAGAAAAUGCUGUUUAGCUGUUGCAGGGAUUUUUCCUUUCGCGUUCGCGAGUGGAGCCUCGCAUUCAUGAAGAGGCAGUUGAGGAUGGAAAGAAUUAAGCCUUCGCGUUCGCGAGAAGGUCUUCGCGUUCGCGAGAAGGUCUUCGCGUUCGCGAGAAGGUCUUCGCGUUCGCGGAGGGCUGGCAAGUGGUGCAUCGCGUUCGCGAGAAGGUCUUCGUGAUCGCGUAGAGGAAAUUGGGUCAGAUGGGUUCGAGGUUCAGUGUUCAUCGCGUUCGCGUAUGAGUGAGCACGUUCGCAAAGUUUAAGGUGGACGAAGCAUCAUGUUCGCAAUGGUCAUUAUGCAUUCGCAUAGAGGAAAAGUUGGUCAACGCGAGUUUGUGCUUCGCGAAUGCGUGGGUUACCGCGUUCGUGAAGAAGGAAAUAUAGGCCUGGGCAGAAUGUUUUUAAGUCGUCUUGUUCGCGAUUUUGGGGCUUAUUUCACCCAUAGCUGCUCGUUUUUGGAGAUUUUUGAAGGAAAUUGAAGAGGUAUUCAAGUGGAAUCAUUGGGAGGUAAGAUUCGUGGACUAAAAACUCGAUUAUUACGCGAAUUCCACCUAGAAAAUCAUGAAAGCUAAGCCUAAAAUUGAAGAACUAGGGCAUGAGAAAUUGGACUUUUGAUUGGGGAUUUGGAGGACCAUUUGGGGUCGGAUUUGAGAACUUUUGAUAUGUAUGAACUCGUGGGAAGAUAAAGAAUCUAAUAAUGUAAAAAUUUCUGAGUUUCGAGAAGUGGGCCCGGGGCUCGGGUUUUGCUAAUUUCGGGAUUUGUGCCCUUUAUUGUUUGUUUUCGCUUGGGCUUUGUUCCCUUAGCAUAUUUUGACAUCCUCGUUCUGAUUUUAGAUAGAUUCGACGCGCGUGGAGGCCGAUUCGAGGGGCAAAGGUGUCGCGAGCUAGAGAUUUAGCCGGUUCGAGGUGAGUAAUGAUUGUAAAUGAUGUUCUGAGGGCUUGAAACCCCGGAUUGCACAUUGUAAUGCUAUAUUGAGGUGAGACACACGCUUGAUGGCGAGCAUGAGGUCGUGCACUAUUGGGGAUUGUGAAUCGGUCCGUCCCGAUUGAUGAUUUUACCGUGUAUUUGAUUGAAAACUAUUUGCUAUCAUCAUUAUUUGGGCUGAAUGCCACAUUUGGGCCUAGGGCCAACUAUUUGAACCCUUCAGGGCUAUUUAUUGAUUUUCCUCAUUGUUUUGACUUAUUACUUGAUCUUAGUCAUGUUAUUUCCCACUGUUUUCAUACUCAGCCAUGUUUACUCAGUUUUAAGACUUAAAUGAUAUUUUAAAUGAUGUUUGGNNNNNNNNUACUGUUCUGAAAUGUUGCCCGAAGGGCAGAUUUUGCUGAUACUGUGCCCAAGGGGAGAACUUCUAUUUGUUUACUUUAUCCUAAUUAUCUGUCAAUUACCUGUUUACUAGUUGAAAGAGUAUUUUAUUUGAUUUUACUAGUUUUACUGUUGUUAAGUGAUUUUACUGCUUCAUAUAGAAUGCCUUGUGCCUUACGUGUGUUCUUACUUUCAGUCAUUAUUUACAUUUGUUACUCACUUAGUUGGAGUACUCACUUUACUCUCUACACCCCUAUGUGCAGAUUCACGCGUUGCUGGUUCUGCUCCGGAGUGCUGAUUUCCUCCAGUUCCAGGCGGGCCUUUCGGAGAUUACGAGGUAGUUGUUGACGUCCGCAGCCCCGUGUCUCUACUCCUCUAGCACUUUUGUUCCUUUUCAAACAUUUAUAGUAGUUCAUGACUUUAGCAGACUUGUAUUAUGGCUCAUAGAUGCUUGUGACUUGUGUCACCCCGGUUAGGGCUGUGUUGGGUUGUACUUUCGCACUUUAUUAGCAUUAUUCGCUACUUAGUAUUGCUAUAUCAUGUUCUAGAUUGCCUUUAUGUUAUUUAACUGUUUAAAAAGUGAAUUGUGUUUAACGAUGGUUA